RNAcentral lists this transfer RNA (65 nucleotides) under human gut metagenome. It matches the Rfam family "tRNA", at positions 5 to 66 of the family's 71-position model. From Rfam's summary of the family: Transfer RNA (tRNA) molecules are approximately 80 nucleotides in length. Their secondary structure includes four short double-helical elements and three loops (D, anti-codon, and T loops). The record is from RNAcentral. RNAcentral also lists the same sequence under 1 other name.
CAGUAGCUCAGCUGGAUAGAGUGUUGGCCUCCGGAGCCAAAGGUCGUGGGUUCGAAUCCCGUCUG